UAUGUGAUCGUCUCUCGCAUAUCAAUAAGCGGAGGAAAAGAAACUAACAAGGAUUCCCCUAGUAACGGCGAGUGAAGCGGGAAGAGCUCAAAUUUGAAAUCUUAAAGGGUUUCCCUUUACGAAUUGUAGUUUAAAGAAGUGUUUUCUGUUGAGGUUUUGGUAAAAGUUCUUUGGAAUAGGACAUCAUAGAGGGUGAGAAUCCCGUAUUUGACCCUUACUUUCAACUUUGUGAUACACUUUCAAAGAGUCGGAUUGUUUGGGAAUGCAGUCCAAAAUGGGUGGUAAAUUUCAUCUAAAGCUAAAUAUUGGCGAGAGACCGAUAGCGAACAAGUACCGUGAGGGAAAGAUGAAAAGAACUUUGAAAAGAGAGUUAAACAGUACGUGAAAUUGUCAAAAGGGAAGCGUUUGACACCAGUGUUGUUUUUUCUGAAAAUCAAUUAAAGAACUGUUUAUGCUAAGUUGUUUAGACUUUAUCAGCUAUCUGCUUUAGUUUUGAGCUUUUCUUUAAUGCACUUUUCAGUUAACAAGGUCAACAUCAAUUUCUUUUGCUGUAAAAAAGCUUGAGGAAGGUGGCUUGAGAUUCGUCUUAAGUGUUUAUAGCCUCUUGCCUAUGCAGUCGGAGAGAUUGAGGUCUGCAGCGUAGAUCCUUCGGGGCUAAAUGCAUUUGUGCUAAGUUAUAGCAUUUUAUAGACAACUUGUUGACUAUGAUUUGUCUUGUAGCUUACUCGCUUAUGUUAUUUUACCUACGCUUAGGAUGUUGAAGAUAUGCGCGACACG
This 777-nucleotide ribosomal RNA is filed under the name uncultured Neocallimastigales. RNAcentral describes it as "partial large subunit ribosomal RNA". It matches the Rfam family "Eukaryotic large subunit ribosomal RNA", at positions 24 to 644 of the family's 3401-position model. Lineage: Eukaryota; Fungi; Neocallimastigomycota; Neocallimastigomycetes; Neocallimastigales. The record is from RNAcentral.